GAUGAACGCUGGCGGCGUGCUUAACACAUGCAAGUCGAACGGAGUUUAUGUAGAAUGAGUCUUCGGGCAAGUGAAAUAUAAACUUAGUGGCGGACGGGUGAGUAACGUGUGGGUAACCUACCCUAUACAGGAGGAUAACAGUAAGAAAUUAUUGCUAAAACUGCAUAAGAUUACGAGUUCGCAUGAACAAGUGAUAAAAACUUUAGUGGUAUAGGAUGGGCCCGCAUCUGAUUAGGUAGUUGGUGGAGUAAAAGCCUACCAAGCCGACGAUCAGUAGCCGAUCUGAGAGGAUGACCGGCCACAUUGGGACUGAGACACGGCCCAAACUCCUACGGGAGGCAGCAGUGGGGAAUAUUGGACAAUGGGGGAAACCCUGAUCCAGCGACGCCGCGUGAGUGAAGAAGUAUUUCGGUAUGUAAAGCUCUAUCAGCAGGGAAGAAAAUGACGGUACCUGACUAAGAAGCCCCGGCUAACUACGUGCCAGCAGCCGCGGUAAUACGUAGGGGGCAAGCGUUAUCCGGAUUUACUGGGUGUAAAGGGAGCGUAGACGGCGAUGUAAGUCUGAAGUGAAAGCCCACGGCUCAACUGUGGGACUGCUUUGGAAACUAUGUAGCUAGAGUAUCGGAGGGGCAAGCGGAAUUCCUAGUGUAGCGGUGAAAUGCGUAGAUAUUAGGAGGAACACCGGAGGCGAAGGCGGCUUGCUGGACGAAGACUGACGUUGAGGCUCGAAGGCGUGGGGAGCAAACAGG
This 749-nucleotide ribosomal RNA is filed under the name uncultured Lachnospiraceae bacterium. RNAcentral's name for it is "bacterial SSU rRNA". It matches the Rfam family "Bacterial small subunit ribosomal RNA", at positions 28 to 776 of the family's 1533-position model. Lineage: Bacteria; Bacillati; Bacillota; Clostridia; Lachnospirales; Lachnospiraceae. The record is from RNAcentral.